UACAGAGGGUGCAAGCGUUGUUCGGAAUUAUUGGGCGUAAAGCGCGUGUAGGCGGCUUUGCAAGUCGGGUGUGAAAGCCCUCAGCUUAACUGAGGAAGUGCGCCCGAAACUGCAGAGCUUGAAUACCGGAGAGGAUGGCGGAAUUCCCCAAGUAGAGGUGAAAUUCGUAGAUAUCGAGAGGAACACCGGUGGCGAAGGCGGCCAACUGGACGAAUACUGACGCUGAGACACGAAAGCGUGGGGAGCAAACAGG
Molecule: ribosomal RNA, 253 nt
Filed under: uncultured bacterium
Lineage: Bacteria
Description: partial 16S ribosomal RNA
Rfam family: Bacterial small subunit ribosomal RNA
Source: RNAcentral